UACGUAGGGGGCAAGCGUUGUCCGGAAUCAUUGGGCGUAAAGCGCGUGUAGGCGGCCCGGUACGUCCGCUGUGAAAGUCGGGGGCUCAACCCUCGAAUGCCGGUGGAUACUGUCGGGCUAGAGUGCGGAAGAGGCGAGUGGAAUUCCUGGUGUAGCGGUGAAAUGCGCAGAUAUCAGGAGGAACACCAAUUGCGAAGGCAGCUCGCUGGGACGUUACUGACGCUGAGACGCGAAAGCGUGGGGAGCAAACAGG
This 253-nucleotide ribosomal RNA is filed under the name uncultured bacterium. RNAcentral's name for it is "partial 16S ribosomal RNA". It matches the Rfam family "Bacterial small subunit ribosomal RNA", at positions 524 to 776 of the family's 1533-position model. The record is from RNAcentral.